UGGGGAAUAUUGGACAAUGGGCGCAAGCCUGAUCCAGCCAUGCCGCGUGAGUGAUGAAGGCCUUAGGGUUGUAAAGCUCUUUCAGUAGGGAAGAUAAUGACGGUACCUACAGAAGAAGCCCCGGCUAACUUCGUGCCAGCAGCCGCGGUAAUACGAAGGGGGCUAGCGUUGUUCGGAUUUACUGGGCGUAAAGCGCACGUAGGCGGGUCGUUAAGUCAGAGGUGAAAUCCCGGAGCUCAACUCCGGAACUGCCUUUGAUACUGGCGAUCUCGAGUCCGGAAGAGGUGAGUGGAACUCCUAGUGUAGAGGUGGAAUUCGUAGAUAUUAGGAAGAACACCAGUGGCGAAGGCGGCUCACUGGUCCGGUACUGACGCUGAGGUGCGAAAGCGUGGGGAGCAAACAG
RNAcentral lists this ribosomal RNA (403 nucleotides) under uncultured bacterium. Its description in RNAcentral is "bacterial SSU rRNA". It matches the Rfam family "Bacterial small subunit ribosomal RNA", at positions 355 to 775 of the family's 1533-position model. The record is from RNAcentral.